This 66-nucleotide transfer RNA is filed under the name human gut metagenome. It matches the Rfam family "tRNA". From Rfam's summary of the family: Transfer RNA (tRNA) molecules are approximately 80 nucleotides in length. Their secondary structure includes four short double-helical elements and three loops (D, anti-codon, and T loops). Further hydrogen bonds mediate the characteristic L-shaped molecular structure. tRNAs have two regions of fundamental functional importance: the anti-codon, which is responsible for specific mRNA codon recognition, and the 3' end, to which the tRNAs corresponding amino acid is attached (by aminoacyl-tRNA synthetases). tRNAs cope with the degeneracy of the genetic code in two manners: having more than one tRNA (with a specific anti-codon) for a particular amino acid; and 'wobble' base-pairing, i.e. permitting non-standard base-pairing at the 3rd anti-codon position. The record is from RNAcentral.
CCUUUAGCUCAGUGGAUAAAGCGUUCGGCUCCGGACCGAAAGACGCAGGUUCGAUUCCUGUAAGGU